This 221-nucleotide ribosomal RNA is filed under the name uncultured bacterium. RNAcentral's name for it is "partial 16S ribosomal RNA". It matches the Rfam family "Bacterial small subunit ribosomal RNA", at positions 524 to 743 of the family's 1533-position model. The record is from RNAcentral.
UACGUAGGUGGCGAGCGUUGUCCGGAUUUACUGGGCGUAAAGGGCGUGCAGGCGGUUUGUUAAGUGCAGAGUGAAAGCUCCCGGCUCAACUGGGACGAGGUCUUUGCAUACUGGCAAACUCGAGGGAGGCAGAGGAAAGUGGAAUUCCCGGUGUAGUGGUGAUAUGCGUAGAUAUCGGGAGGAACACCUGUGGCGAAGGCGGCUUUCUGGGCCUUACCUGA